RNAcentral lists this ribosomal RNA (253 nucleotides) under uncultured bacterium. RNAcentral describes it as "partial 16S ribosomal RNA". It matches the Rfam family "Bacterial small subunit ribosomal RNA", at positions 524 to 776 of the family's 1533-position model. The record is from RNAcentral.
UACAGAGGUCGCAAGCGUUGUUCGGAUUCAUUGGGCGUAAAGGGUGCGUAGGUGGCGCUGUAAGUCGGGUGUGAAAUUUCGGAGCUUAACUCCGAAACUGCAUUCGAUACUGCGGUGCUUGAGGACUGGAGAGGAGACUGGAAUUCAUGGUGUAGCAGUGAAAUGCGUAGAGAUCAUGAGGAAGACCAGUGGCGAAGGCGGGUCUCUGGACAGUUCCUGACACUGAGGCACGAAGGCCAGGGGAGCAAACGGG